GCCGGGGUGGCUCAGUGGUUGAGCAUCUACCUAUAAACCAGAAGGUCUCGGUUUGAUUCCCGGUCAGGGCA
RNAcentral lists this transfer RNA (71 nucleotides) under Myotis lucifugus (little brown bat). It matches the Rfam family "tRNA". From Rfam's summary of the family: Transfer RNA (tRNA) molecules are approximately 80 nucleotides in length. Lineage: Eukaryota; Metazoa; Chordata; Mammalia; Chiroptera; Vespertilionidae. The record is from Rfam by way of RNAcentral.